RNAcentral lists this ribosomal RNA (254 nucleotides) under uncultured bacterium. RNAcentral describes it as "partial 16S ribosomal RNA". It matches the Rfam family "Bacterial small subunit ribosomal RNA", at positions 524 to 776 of the family's 1533-position model. The record is from RNAcentral.
UACGUAGGCAGCGAGCGUUGUUCGGAGUUACUGGGCGUAAAGGGUGUGUAGGCGGUUCUUUAAGUUUGGUGUGAAAUCUCCCGGCUCAACCGGGAGGGUGCGCCGAAAACUGGGGGGACUAGAGUGCGGGAUGGGAGAGUAGAAUUCCUGGUGUAGCGGUGAAAUGCGUAGAUAUCAGGAGGAAUACCGGUGGUGUAGACGGCUCUCUGGACCGCCACUGACGCUGAGACACGAAAGCGUGGGUAGCAAACAGG